UAUCUCCUACGGGAGGCAGCAGUAGGGAAUCUUCCACAAUGGGCGAAAGCCUGAUGGAGCAACGCCGCGUGGGUGAAGAAGGUCUUCGGAUCGUAAAACCCUGUUGUUAGAGAAGAAAGUGCGUGAGAGUAACUGUUCACGUUUCGACGGUAUCUAACCAGAAAGCCACGGCUAACUACGUGCCAGCAGCCGCGGUAAUACGUAGGUGACAAGCGUUAUCCGGAUUUAUUGGGCGUACAGGGAACGC
RNAcentral lists this ribosomal RNA (247 nucleotides) under uncultured bacterium. RNAcentral describes it as "partial 16S ribosomal RNA". It matches the Rfam family "Bacterial small subunit ribosomal RNA", at positions 333 to 572 of the family's 1533-position model. The record is from RNAcentral.